Small nucleolar RNA from Mangifera indica (mango), 107 nucleotides. Lineage: Eukaryota; Viridiplantae; Streptophyta; Magnoliopsida; Sapindales; Anacardiaceae. The record is from RefSeq and is a predicted model, not a curated record.
AAACUAUGAUAGGGGCACUACUUCUGUAAACCCUUGAAUCUUCCCCAAGCUUCAUAUAAAGACUUGUCAUCUUUUUGGUAAAAAGUGGCGAUCUCACUUCUCAAUUU